RNAcentral lists this ribosomal RNA (253 nucleotides) under uncultured bacterium. RNAcentral's name for it is "partial 16S ribosomal RNA". It matches the Rfam family "Bacterial small subunit ribosomal RNA", at positions 524 to 776 of the family's 1533-position model. The record is from RNAcentral.
UACAGAGGGUGCAAGCGUUGUUCGGAAUUAUUGGGCGUAAAGCGCGUGUAGGCGGCUUUGCAAGUCGGGUGUGAAAGCCCUCAGCUCAACUGAGGAAGUGCGCCCGAAACUGCAGAGCUUGAGUACCGGAGAGGGUGGCGGAAUUCCCGGUGUAGAGGUGAAAUUCGUAGAUAUCGGGAGGAACACCGGUGGCGAAGGCGGCGAUCUGGGUCGAUACUGACGCUGAGGUGCGAAAGCGUGGGGAGCAAACAGG